CAUUAUGAGUUUCUCAUUCACAAACAUGAUUCCAGUCUAGAAUGAAUUUUGCGUGUCUGUGGUUGCUCUGCACGCGGGCGUUCAAGUGUCAAAUGAUGUGGGGUGAGUUUAUUUCACUGCUUUCAAGUCUGCAGGUCCUCUUCGACCCUGGCUGCUUGGUGCUAGAAGGCAACUAAUCCUCCUCAUCAUGAUAAACUAAUCUUUAAUUCGCACGGCAUAAAUUUACGAAACGCAAGAAAGAGCUAAACAUUGACUAGGAGCAAUUUGCAAAUAAUGAAAAAUCGAUGCAAGAUACUAAUGGAGGAAAGGAAAAAAAUGGUGAACAUUGUUCUUAA
Neltuma alba is the source of this 335-nucleotide long non-coding RNA. RefSeq lists it as uncharacterized. The transcript has 2 exons. The record is from RefSeq and is a predicted model, not a curated record. NCBI's taxonomy places the organism in Eukaryota, Viridiplantae, Streptophyta, Magnoliopsida, Fabales, Fabaceae.